GAUAACGCAUAUUUGCUGGAAUGCUUUAUGCGUCAAAAGGAUUCGUCUGCCCAAGGAUGGGUCUGCGGCCUAUCAGGUAGUAGUGGGUGUAAUGUACCUACUAGCCAGCGACGGGUACGGGUUGUGAGAGCAAGAGCCCGGAGAUGGAUUCUGAGACAUGAAUCCAGGCCCUACGGGGCGCAGCAGGCGCGAAAACUUUACAAUGCGGGAAACCGUGAUAAGGGGACACCGAGUGCCAGCAUCAUAUGCUGGCUGUCCGGAUGUGUAAAAUACAUCCGUUAGCAAGGGCCGGGCAAGACCGGUGCCAGCCGCCGCGGUAACACCGGCGGCCCGAGUGGUGAUCGUGAUUAUUGGGUCUAAAGGGUCCGUAGCCGGUUUGGUCAGUCCUCCGGGAAAUCUGAUAGCUCAACUAUUAGGCUUUCGGGGGAUACUGCCAGACUUGGAACCGGGAGAGGUAAGAGGUACUACAGGGGUAGGAGUGAAAUCUUGUAAUCCCUGUGGGACCACCUGUGGCGAAGGCGUCUUACCAGAACGGGUUCGACGGUGAGGGACGAAAGCUGGGGGCACGAACCGGAUUAGAUACCCGGGUAGUCCCAGCCGUAAACGAUGCUCGCUAGGUGUCAGGCAUGGCGCGACCGUGUCUGGUGCCGCAGGGAAGCCGUGAAGCGAGCCACCUGGGAAGUACGGCCGCAAGGCUGAAACUUAAAGGAAUUGGCGGGGGAGCACAACAACGGGUGGAGCCUGCGGUUUAAUUGGACUCAACGCCGGACAACUCACCGGGGGCGACAGCAAUAUGUAGGCCAAGCUGAAGACUUUGCCUGAAUCGCUGAGAGGAGGUGCAUGGCCGUCGCCAGUUCGUACUGUGAAGCAUCCUGUUAAGUCAGGCAACGAGCGAGACCCGUGCCCACUGUUACCAGCAUGUCCUCCGGGACGAUGGGUACUCUGU
Molecule: ribosomal RNA, 946 nt
Filed under: Methanosarcina mazei
Lineage: Archaea; Methanobacteriati; Methanobacteriota; Methanomicrobia; Methanosarcinales; Methanosarcinaceae
Description: bacterial SSU rRNA
Rfam family: Archaeal small subunit ribosomal RNA
Source: RNAcentral